GAUGAACGCUGGCGGCGUGCCUAAUACAUGCAAGUCGAGCGAACGGACGAGAAGCUUGCUUCUCUGAUGUUAGCGGCGGACGGGUGAGUAACACGUGGAUAACCUACCUAUAAGACUGGGAUAACUUCGGGAAACCGGAGCUAAUACCGGAUAAUAUUUUGAACCGCAUGGUUCAAAAGUGAAAGACGGUCUUGCUGUCACUUAUAGAUGGAUCCGCGCUGCAUUAGCUAGUUGGUAAGGUAACGGCUUACCAAGGCAACGAUGCAUAGCCGACCUGAGAGGGUGAUCGGCCACACUGGAACUGAGACACGGUCCAGACUCCUACGGGAGGCAGCAGUAGGGAAUCUUCCGCAAUGGGCGAAAGCCUGACAGAGCAACGCCGCGUGAGUGAUGAAGGUCUUCGGAUCGUAAAACUCUGUUAUUAGGGAAGAACAUAUGUGUAAGUAACUGUGCACAUCUUGACGGUACCUAAUCAGAAAGCCACGGCUAACUACGU
This 496-nucleotide ribosomal RNA is filed under the name uncultured bacterium. RNAcentral's name for it is "partial 16S ribosomal RNA". It matches the Rfam family "Bacterial small subunit ribosomal RNA", at positions 28 to 506 of the family's 1533-position model. The record is from RNAcentral.